RNAcentral lists this ribosomal RNA (245 nucleotides) under uncultured bacterium. RNAcentral describes it as "partial 16S ribosomal RNA". It matches the Rfam family "Bacterial small subunit ribosomal RNA", at positions 524 to 768 of the family's 1533-position model. The record is from RNAcentral.
GACAGAGGUGCCAAGCGUUAGGCGGAAUCACUGGGCUUAAAGCGUGUGUAGGCGGACGCCUAAGUGCCUUGUGAAAUCCCCCGGCUCAACCGGGGAAUGGCUUGGCAUACUGGGUGUCUUGAGCUGCCCAGGGGCAACUGGAACAGACGGUGGAGCGGUGAAAUGCGUAGAUAUCGUCUGGAACGCCAACGGUGAAAACAGGUUGCUGGGGGCAUGCUGACGCUGAGACACGAAAGCCAGGGGAG